GAAUAUUGGGCAAUGGGCGAAAGCCUGACCCAGCCACGCCGCGUGUGUGAUGAAGGCCUUCGGGUCGUAAAGCACUGUGGGGAGAGACGAACCUGUACAGGAAGAAAUGCCUGUGCACUGACGGUACCUUCUUAGCAAGCACCGGCUAACUCUGUGCCAGCAGCCGCGGUAAUACAGAGGGUGCAAACGUUGCUCGGAUUUACUGGGCGUAAAGCGCGUGUAGGCGGACUCGCAAGUCGGUUGUGAAAUCCCUGGGCUUAACCUACGAACUGCAUCCGAAACUGCGUGUCUUGAGUAAUGGAGAGGGUGGCGGAAUUCCCGGUGUAAAGGUGAAAUUCGUAGAGAUCGGGAGGAACAUCAUUGGCGAAGGCGGCCACCUGGACAUUUACUGACGCUGAGACGCGAAAGCGUGGGGAGCAAACAGGAUUAGAUACCCUGGUAGUCCACGCCGUAAACGAUGAGAACUAUGUGCAGCGGAUAUUGACCUCUGCUGUGCCGAAGCUAACGCGUUAAGUUCUCCGCCUGGGGAGUACGGCCGCAAGGCUAAAACUCAAAGGAAUUGACG
Molecule: ribosomal RNA, 565 nt
Filed under: uncultured bacterium
Lineage: Bacteria
Description: bacterial SSU rRNA
Rfam family: Bacterial small subunit ribosomal RNA
Source: RNAcentral